Sycon ciliatum is the source of this 2692-nucleotide long non-coding RNA. RefSeq lists it as uncharacterized. The record is from RefSeq and is a predicted model, not a curated record. NCBI's taxonomy places the organism in Eukaryota, Metazoa, Porifera, Calcarea, Leucosolenida, Sycettidae. The transcript is spliced from 3 exons.
UGCGCCUGCACGUGUUAUCUCUUCGCCGUAGCUGCUGCUGUAUUUGUGUCUCUGUGUGUACAUGUGGCUGCACGUGUUGUCUCUUCGUCGUAGCUGCUGCUGUAUUUGUGUCUCUGUGCUGCUGACCCGUACAUGCUGCUGCGCUGCUUUGUUGCUGACCCGUACAUGCUGCUGCGCUGCUUUGUUGUUGACACGCGCACCUUUUUGUGCUGAGUACACCACCUUUUGUGCUGACGAGGGCACCAAUUUCUGAUAUCAUGUUUUCCUUUUGCCAUGUCGUCAUCAGUUGUCCGACGGUCGUCGUCAGUUGUCAGUCAUUCGUUGUCAGAGUCAGACGUUUGUUGACAGUCGUCAGUCAUUCGUUGUCAGUGUUAGUUCUCCAUUAUGAGUUCUUCCGUCGCCGCUUGAAGUAAACUAUGAAAAGCUCUCUCUCUAGCUCUAGAGAAAAACCACUGACUAGUUCGUUUUGAGGUGUGGCGUGGCGAGGAUAGAAGAGGCAGUUCGUUCUCAACCUUCCGAGACGACAUUUGGCGCCCAACUAAUCGAACCCACGACCCUGAAGCUCGUCGCUCUCCGGCCGGUGUUUUUCGUUUUCCUCUUCGCGUUCUCGCCAUGGCUCCGCUUUGCUGCGUCUGUUCAACCCUUUCCUAGAUCCUCGGAGCUCCUACUCAGGUGAGCAUGCCUUUGUAAUUGUCUGCUCUGCUAUGCGUAAUGUGUUGCCGUACCUUGUAUUCGAUUUCGAAUUUUCAAAUAAUUGUUUUGCGUCGGGUGACUCGGGUCCCGUGGAACCUUGUUCUCUUGUGUUCGAGUGUGUACUCGUACUCGAGUCGUAGUAUAGUGUAGUCUUGCUGCUCGUUGGAAGUUCGCCCCGUUGUGUUAGUUGUGUUGCUCUGACUACCCUGUACGCCUCGUACUGUACUGUUGUGUAUGAAAAUUUCAAACUUCUGUGCGUGCGCUACUCGUUCGAAUCUGGAAUUACUUGUGUUUGCAUGUUCGUCGUGCAUUCAGCAUGGGUAGCUUUGAUCUCGUCUUGUGUUGUGCACUUGUGCUUGUCACGGAGUUGCCGUCGGACUGCUCCGAUAGUGUGACUGUGUCGCGUGAUUUGUUUAGAUGUCCACCUGAACGUUCUCGAGGUGCUGCCUCGUAUGUAGUCGAUCCAUAUUGUUUUGUUUCGUGUUUUUACCGUUUUAGUAGUAGUUUCUCCAUGUUCUGUGUACAUGGUGUAGAGCGUUGUCAGGCUCGGUCAUGCACUGUCAACAAAGUAGGAAAGCUGUUGGCUUCCGGUUUGGUGGGAGGUGUGAACUUCAUGUAGGAUUCUCGUUCUUGAUCCAGGUUGAAUUUUUUUUGUGAGCGUAUGGUUUUGUAAUUAUUGUGUUUCGGCAUAUGGGUUUCUCUUGUUCGCCUGGGUGGGCGUCUGAUCAUGGUGAGCCACGGUCUGCUUGGUGGUCUGCAGGGAUCCUGCGCUUUUUUGUAUCGGUUUGCCUUGCGGGUGUUAUGGUUUCCGGGUGUUGCUGGUUGGCCCUUGUGCGUCCCAAUCGGUCCCUGACAGUUUCUUUUCUUCAGUUUUUUGGUUUUGCGAGCGGAUGUACUAUAAGUUCCGUGUUUUCAGGUUCAAUCCCUGCGGUUUUUUUCAGGUUCGAUCCCUGUGGGUUUUUUCAGGGUAGCGCCCUGUGGUUUUUCUUCAUUAUCUUUUGCGUAUUGGUAACCGAUUUGUUUGUGUGUCCUCAAUGGUGUCCUCACUGAUUAAUUGCUCCUGUUUCAAUCGACGUGUUCUUCCUGGCUGUUCUUCCCUUCCUUCGUGUGCUUUUCUGAUUUUUGGUGAUGGCUGAGAUGUUUGCGUCAGUCCUUCUCUCUUUCUGUGUGUGUCCUGUGAUUCUCGGAGUUUCUGUAGCGCCAUCGGUUUUCGGACAGCCGGCCAGUGUGCGUCCUGCUGCCCCAGUCUUCUCGGUCGGUGCGUACUGUCGGUCUCGCCGCUCCUGGAAGCGUCGCUGGGUCCGUCGGCAUAACCUGUUUUCUCAUGCAUUUGUACUUUUGUUUUGUCAUGACUGGUGGAUGGGUGGCGUACUAGGUUGGUGCUGUUCUAAGAAUAAAAGAUCCAAAGGGACAAACACAGGUCGAACAGCUCGCCAGCCGGGGUCCUCUGCAAAAAUCUGUUGCUUGCAGGUUCCGUUGAUGGUGCACAGUUUUGCGGGGCUCCCGACUGGUGUUAACCCUCCUGGCCUACUCGUCAUGCGUUCAACAGUUGUGGCCCACCUCUUUUGUGUUUUAUUGUCGCCUGUUUAUGUUGCUUCAUAUUUCAUUUCCCCUGUCUUUCUGUCUUCUUCUCCGGUCUGUCUCCUUCCGUUUAUUAUACACUUCACUUUUGCUUCCAUCCACAGGAGUGGAUGUCUUUUUUUGGUAGGGGAUAGUGUUGUACCUGCGCCUGCACGUGUUAUCUCUUCGCCGUAGCUGCUGCUGUAUUUGUGUCUCUGUGUGUACAUGUGGCUGCACGUGUUGUCUCUUCGUCGUAGCUGCUGCUGUAUUUGUGUCUCUGUGCUGCUGACCCGUACAUGCUGCUGCGCUGCUUUGUUGCUGACCCGUACAUGCUGCUGCGCUGCUUUGUUGUUGACACGCGCACCUUUUUGUGCUGAGUACACCACCUUUUGUGCUGACGAGGGCACCAAUUUCUGAUAUCAUGUUUUCCUUUUGCCAU